RNAcentral lists this long non-coding RNA (453 nucleotides) under Pan troglodytes (chimpanzee). RNAcentral describes it as "long non-coding RNA NONPTRT009237". The record is from RNAcentral. Lineage: Eukaryota; Metazoa; Chordata; Mammalia; Primates; Hominidae.
CCUCUUGGUUUGUAUUCUCUCUUACCACCUGAAACUUGGUCUUCCUCAGGGCCUGUUUUUACGUCAUUAGAUUGUGCCCUCUCCAAUCUCUCUCACUGUGGGGUAACCAGGAUGAUCAUAGUGAUUAUGCAAUGAUUGUUCAAACCAAGAUACUUGGGGAGGGAAUGGAUGCCCUGUUAAACAUUAUCCUGGGACCAAAGGUAUAAACUCCCAUGGACUAGAGCCAAAGUACUUGAGUUUGAAUCCUAGCACCACCUGUAAUAAGGCAAGACAUUUAACCUCUCAGAAUCUCAGUCUUCUCAUCUGUACAAUGGGGAAUGUUAGUGAUAUCUAUUUUGGUGUAUUUUUGAAAGAUUAUAGGAGGCAGUGUAUGUAAAGUGUUUAGAACUGUGUCACCUGGCAUAUGGUAUACAUAGCUAUUAUCACGUAGAAUCCCAGCAAAUAGAAUCUGGA